GACGGAGGGUGCAAGCGUUGUUCGGAAUUACUGGGCGUAAAGCGCGGGCAGGUGGCUCUUUAAGUCCUUUGUGAAAUUCCGGGGCUCAACUCCGGAUGUGCAUAGGAUACUGGAGAGCUAGAGACUGGUAGAGGCGAGCGGAAUUCCUGGUGUAGCGGUGGAAUGCGUAGAUAUCGGGAGGAACACCAGUGGCGAAGGCGGCUUCCUGGCCUGUUCUUGACGCUGAGGCGCGAAAGCUAGGGGAGCGAACGGG
This 253-nucleotide ribosomal RNA is filed under the name uncultured bacterium. RNAcentral's name for it is "partial 16S ribosomal RNA". It matches the Rfam family "Bacterial small subunit ribosomal RNA", at positions 524 to 776 of the family's 1533-position model. The record is from RNAcentral.